Small nuclear RNA from Sorex fumeus (smoky shrew), 166 nucleotides. RefSeq annotates it as U1 spliceosomal RNA. The record is from RefSeq and is a predicted model, not a curated record. The transcript has a single exon. Lineage: Eukaryota; Metazoa; Chordata; Mammalia; Eulipotyphla; Soricidae.
AUACCUACCUGCCAGGCUAGAUACCAUGAUAAGCAAAAAGAUGGUUUUCUCAAGGUCGGGCUUAUUCAUUGCACUCCAGAUGGCUAACUUCUGUGAUUUUUCCGAAAUGUGGAAAACUCAACUGCAGAAUUUUUGAUAGUGGGAUCUGAGUUUGUGCUUAUCCCUG